GGGCAGCAGCUUUAUAGCGAUAUAGAGGCUCGCGACCGGCAAACGGGUGUAGAACCACGUACACACCGUCCUAGAAUAGGGGGAUAGCCCAUAGAAAUGUGGAUUAAUACCACGUAAUAGAGCGGUGUGGCAUCACAGUGUUAUUAUAGUUUCGACGAUUCGAGAUGGGUGUCCUGAUGAUUAUGUAGUGGGCGGGGUAAAGCCCCACCAAGCCUUCGAUCAGUAGCUGAUGUGAGAUCAUGAUCAGCCACACGGGCACUGAGACACGGGUCCGACUCGUACGAGCGGCAGCAGUAAGGAAUAUUGGUCAAUGGAUGCAAGUGUGAACCAGCCAUGCCGCGUGAAGGAUGAAGGUCCUGUGGAUUUAAACUUUUUUUAUAGGGGGCGAAAAAAGGUUUUUGUAAAUCCCUUGACAGUACCCUACGAAUAAGCACCGGCUAACUCCGUGCCAGCAGCCGCGGUAAUACGGAGGGUGCAAGCGUUAUCCGGAUUCACUGGGUUUAAAGGGUGCGUAGGCGGGUAGGUAAGUCAGAGGUGAAAUCCCGGAGCUUAACUCCAGAACUUCCUUUGAUACUAUCUAUCUUGAAUAUGGUGGAGGUAAGCGGAAUAUGUCAUGUAGCGGUGAAAUGCAUAGAUAUGACAUAGAACACCUA
This 653-nucleotide ribosomal RNA is filed under the name Hydrobacter sp. Its description in RNAcentral is "bacterial SSU rRNA". It matches the Rfam family "Bacterial small subunit ribosomal RNA", at positions 67 to 712 of the family's 1533-position model. The record is from RNAcentral. Lineage: Bacteria; Pseudomonadati; Bacteroidota; Chitinophagia; Chitinophagales; Chitinophagaceae.